AGCGAACGCUGGCGGCGUGCCUAACACAUGCAAGUCGAACGGUAAAAGGGAAACCUGGGGCACGUUGCGUACGGGUGAGUUGCGCGUAGGUCAACUACCCCACAGUCUUGAAUAACCUGCCGAAAGGCGGGCUAAUACUGGAUAGAGCGAGGGAACUCGUAAGAGAGUUUUUCGGGAAAGUGAGCCCGCAAGGGCCUGCGCUCUGCGAUGAGCCUGCGUCUCAUUAGCUAGUUGGUCAGGGACAGGCUUACCAAGGCGAUGAUGAGUAGCUGGUCUGAGAGGACGAGUAGCCACACUGGGAGUGUAACACGGUACAGACUCAUACGGGAGGCAGCAGUGGGGAAUCGUGAGGAAUGGACGAAAGUCUGACGCAGCCACGCCGCGUGAGUGCAGAAGGCCUUCGGGUUGGAGAGCUCUGUCGGAUGGGACGAACCUUUUCAUAGUGAAUAGCUAUGAGGAGUGACGGUACCAUCAAAGGAAGCACCGGCUAACUCCGUG
Molecule: ribosomal RNA, 498 nt
Filed under: uncultured bacterium
Lineage: Bacteria
Description: partial 16S ribosomal RNA
Rfam family: Bacterial small subunit ribosomal RNA
Source: RNAcentral